RNAcentral lists this ribosomal RNA (253 nucleotides) under uncultured bacterium. RNAcentral describes it as "partial 16S ribosomal RNA". It matches the Rfam family "Bacterial small subunit ribosomal RNA", at positions 524 to 776 of the family's 1533-position model. The record is from RNAcentral.
UACAGAGGUCCCAAGCGUUGUUCGGAUUCACUGGGCGUAAAGGGUGCGCAGGCGGCCAGGUGUGUUAGGCGUGAAAGCCCGGGGCUUAACCCCGGAAUUGCACCUAAAACUACUUGGCUAGAGCAUUGGAGAGGGUAGCGGAAUUCACGGUGUAGCAGUGAAAUGCGUAGAUAUCGUGAGGAACACCAGAGGCGAAGGCGGCUACCUGGACAAUUGCUGACGCUGAGGAGCGAAAGCAUGGGGAGCGAACAGG